GAAAUAUACAGUCAUGGUCAAAAUUAUUUUCACAAAGUGCAUUUUUGUGCAUGGGUCACAAACAGUUGCUUGUGCAGCAAGUGGGGGGAGGUGAAAUGCAAAAAAACUUUUGCUUUUGCAAAUUCAAACCUAUGCAGAGUCAGAUGAAAGAAGAAUUGAAAAAAUAAAUGUUCCUAUGCGCAAGGAAGAGGCAAAUGAAGAGAUCUUUAUCAGUUGUCAGAAGUAUUUGCACACGGUUUCGUCGCAUCACAAUUAUUUUCACAACGCAAUUUCUUCUUCAGUGAUUGGUUUAGAGUGACAAGUGCCGUUAUUAAAUAAAAUGCCCAAAACAAAAGAGUUAACAGUUGAGGCCCGGGCUGGUAUUGUUGCUAGGUUUAAAGCCGGUACACCUGCGGCCAAAAUAGCUGAAAUAUAUCAAAUUUCGCGUAGAACUGUCUACUACUUAAUAAAAAAGUUUGAUACAGUUGGCACAUUAAAAAA
This is a long non-coding RNA of Drosophila simulans, 480 nucleotides long. RefSeq lists it as uncharacterized. The record is from RefSeq and is a predicted model, not a curated record. Lineage: Eukaryota; Metazoa; Arthropoda; Insecta; Diptera; Drosophilidae. The transcript has 2 exons.